Molecule: ribosomal RNA, 497 nt
Filed under: uncultured bacterium
Lineage: Bacteria
Description: partial 16S ribosomal RNA
Rfam family: Bacterial small subunit ribosomal RNA
Source: RNAcentral
GAUGAACGCUGGCGGCGUGCCUAAUACAUUCAAGUCGAGCGAACGGACGAGAAGCUUGCUUUUCUGAUGUUAGCGGCGGACGGGUGAGUAACACGUGGAUAACCUACCUAUAAGACUGGGAUAACUUCGGGAAACCGGAGCUAGUACCGGAUAAUAUUUUGAACCGCAUGGUUCAAAAGUGAAAGACGGUCUUGCUGUCACUUAUAGAUGGAUCCGCGCUGCAUUAGCUAGUUGGUAAGGUAACGGCUUACCAAGGCAACGAUGCAUAGCCGACCUGAGAGGGGGGUCGGCCCCCCUGGAACUGGACCACCGUCCAGGCUCCUAAGGGAGGCCGCAGUCGGGAAUCUUCCGCAAUGGGGGGAAGGCUGGCGGAGCAACGGCGCGUGAGUGAAGGAAGUCUUCGGAUCGGAAAACUCUGUUAUUAGGGAAGAACAUAUGUGUAAGUAACUGUGCACAUCUUGACGGUACCUAAUCAGAAAGCCACGGCUAACUACGUG